UUACUGGAAGAGUUAUGAGUUCAAGGUUAAGAGCACACAAAGUUUGCACUGAUGCGGACUCUACUAUGUUUUGGAAACUGCAAUAUAGAUGUAGAUGGGUAAGUCUCUUAAGAUC
Caenorhabditis elegans is the source of this 115-nucleotide non-coding RNA. NCBI's taxonomy places the organism in Eukaryota, Metazoa, Nematoda, Chromadorea, Rhabditida, Rhabditidae. The record is from Ensembl.